AAUAAGCCUGCGUUAAGGAUUGAAGCGGCAUCCUUUUUUCCGAGUUCGAGUGAAUUUGCUUUUUUGCAAAUUUGUAUCGAGAACUCAGAAAAAAGAUAUAGCGAAAAGCCUGACCUGAA
Molecule: small RNA, 119 nt
Filed under: Tenacibaculum todarodis
Lineage: Bacteria; Pseudomonadati; Bacteroidota; Flavobacteriia; Flavobacteriales; Flavobacteriaceae
Description: Tenacibaculum sp. LPB0136 Flavo-1 RNA
Rfam family: Flavo-1 RNA
Source: Rfam by way of RNAcentral